GUUGUGGUUCAAUGGUAGAACACUUGCCUGGCAUGUAUGAGGCACCGGGUUUGAUUCUCAGCACCACA
This 68-nucleotide transfer RNA is filed under the name Marmota monax (woodchuck). RNAcentral's name for it is "tRNA.Ala". The stretch from base 3 to 63 matches the Rfam family "tRNA", at positions 6 to 65 of the family's 71-position model. From Rfam's summary of the family: Transfer RNA (tRNA) molecules are approximately 80 nucleotides in length. Their secondary structure includes four short double-helical elements and three loops (D, anti-codon, and T loops). Lineage: Eukaryota; Metazoa; Chordata; Mammalia; Rodentia; Sciuridae. The record is from RNAcentral.